This 270-nucleotide ribosomal RNA is filed under the name uncultured archaeon. Its description in RNAcentral is "partial 16S ribosomal RNA". It matches the Rfam family "Archaeal small subunit ribosomal RNA", at positions 477 to 747 of the family's 1478-position model. The record is from RNAcentral.
CAGCAGCCCGAGUGGUGGUCGCUUUUAUUGGGCCUAAAGCGUCCGUAGCCGGUCUAGUAAAUCCUUGGAUAAAUCGUACAGCUUAACUGUACGGCUCCCGGGGAGACUGCUAGACUUGGGACUGGGAGAGGUCGGAGGUACUCCAGGGGUAGGGGUGAAAUCUUGUAAUCCUUGGGGGACCACCAGUGGCGAAGGCGUCCGACUAGAACGGGUCCGACGGUAAGGGACGAAGCCCUGGGGCGCGAACCGGAUUAGAUACCCGAGUAGUCC